AAAAGUGAAAGACGGUCUUGCUGUCACUUAUAGAUGGAUCCGCGCUGCAUUAGCUAGUUGGUAAGGUAACGGCUUACCAAGGCAACGAUGCAUAGCCGACCUGAGAGGGUGAUCGGCCACACUGGAACUGAGACACGGUCCAGACUCCUACGGGAGGCAGCAGUAGGGAAUCUUCCGCAAUGGGCGAAAGCCUGACGGAGCAACGCCGCGUGAGUGAUGAAGGUCUUCGGAUCGUAAAACUCUGUUAUUAGGGAAGAACAUAUGUGUAAGUAACUGUGCACAUCUUGACGGUACCUAAUCAGAAAGCCACGGCUAACUACGUGCCAGCAGCCGCGGUAAUACGUAGGUGGCAAGCGUUAUCCGGAAUUAUUGGGCGUAAAGCGCGCGUAGGCGGUUUUUUAAGUCUGAUGUGAAAGCCCACGGCUCAACCGUGGAGGGUCAUUGGAAACUGGAAAACUUGAGUGCAGAAGAGGAAAGUGGAAUUCCAUGUGUAGCGGUGAAAUGCGCAGAGAUAUGGAGGAACACCAGUGGCGAAGGCGACUUUCUGGUCUGUAACUGACGCUGAUGUGCGAAAGCGUGGGGAUCAAACAGGAUUAGAUACCCUGGUAGUCCACGCCGUAAACGAUGAGUGCUAAGUGUUAGGGGGUUUCCGCCCCUUAGUGCUGCAGCUAACGCAUUAAGCACUCCGCCUGGGGAGUACGACCGCAAGGUUGAAACUCAAAGGAAUUGACGGGGACCCGCACAAGCGGUGGAGCAUGUGGUUUAAUUCGAAGCAACGCGAAGAACCUUACCAAAUCUUGACAUCCUUUGACAACUCUAGAGAUAGAGCCUUCCCCUUCGGGGGACAAAGUGACAGGUGGUGCAUGGUUGUCGUCAGCUCGUGUCGUGAGAUGUUGGGUUAAGUCCCGCAACGAGCGCAACCCUUAAGCUUAGUUGCCAUCAUUAAGUUGGGCACUCUAAGUUGACUGCCGGUGACAAACCGGAGGAAGGUGGGGAUGACGUCAAAUCAUCAUGCCCCUUAUGAUUUGGGCUACACACGUGCUACAAUGGACAAUACAAAGGGCAGCGAAACCGCGAGGUCAAGCAAAUCCCAUAAAGUUGUUCUCAGUUCGGAUUGUAGUCUGCAACUCGACUACAUGAAGCUGGAAUCGCUAGUAAUCGUAGAUCAGCAUGCUACGGUGAAUACGUUCCCGGGUCUUGUACACACCGCCCGUCACACCACGAGAGUUUGUAACACCCGAAGCCGGUGGAGUAACCUUUUAGGAGCUAGCCGUCGAAGGUGGGACAAAUGAUUGGGGUGAAGUCGUAACAAGGUAGCCGUAUCGGAAGGUGCGGCUGGAUCACC
Molecule: ribosomal RNA, 1345 nt
Filed under: Staphylococcus aureus
Lineage: Bacteria; Bacillati; Bacillota; Bacilli; Caryophanales; Staphylococcaceae
Description: bacterial SSU rRNA
Rfam family: Bacterial small subunit ribosomal RNA
Source: RNAcentral